This 427-nucleotide ribosomal RNA is filed under the name uncultured bacterium. Its description in RNAcentral is "bacterial SSU rRNA". It matches the Rfam family "Bacterial small subunit ribosomal RNA", at positions 355 to 774 of the family's 1533-position model. The record is from RNAcentral.
UGGGGAAUAUUGCACAAUGGGCGCAAGCCUGAUGCAGCCAUGCCGCGUGUAUGAAGAAGGCCUUCGGGUUGUAAAGUACUUUCAGCGAGGAGGAAGGCAUUAAGGUUAAUAACCUUAGUGAUUGACGUUACUCGCAGAAGAAGCUCCGGCUAACUCCGUGCCAGCAGCCGCGGUAAUACGGAGGGUGCAAGCGUUAAUCGGAAUUACUGGGCGUAAAGCGCACGCAGGCGGUCUGUUAAGUCAGAUGUGAAAUCCCCGGGCUCAACUUGGGAACUGCAUGUGAAACUGGAAGGGUUGAGUCGUGUAGAGGGGGGGAGAGUUCCAGGUGGAACGGUGAAAUGCGGAGAGAUCUGGAGGAAUACCGGUGGCGGAAGCGGCCCCCUGGACAAAGACUGACGCACAGGUACGAAAGCGUGGGGAGCAAACA